RNAcentral lists this unclassified non-coding RNA (3818 nucleotides) under Stegodyphus dumicola. RNAcentral describes it as "inversin-B-like, transcript variant X3". Lineage: Eukaryota; Metazoa; Arthropoda; Arachnida; Araneae; Eresidae. The record is from RNAcentral.
UUCAGUUUCAGAUGUCCAGUUCGAAUCCAGUCUGGUAAUUCUGGUAUACGGACCAGAUUGUCACAUGACUUGAUAAAAAGAAGAAUCUAUUGAAAUUCAUGGUUUUCUAACUCCUGCACGAAGUGUUAUUCCCUUUCUGAAGACGUGUUCCUGAAGAGAUGUUGAGGAGGGGGCGGGGUUGAGCCGCUCCUUCCAUGGAAUUGAAGCGGAAUAAGAGAGCCCAGCGAUCUCAAUCCCCGAGUCACACUUCGUUGAUGCUUGCAUGCCAACAAGAAGCCAAAGAAGACGUUCGGAAUAUAAUUCAAAGACAGCCAGGCGCAGCUUUACAGAGGGAUCGUACCGGUAAGAAUGCCCUGCAUUAUUGUGCAGAGAAUACGGAUGUGGAUUGCGCCAGUCUUGUUCUUUCCGUCGCUCCUACACUACUUAACGCCCCGGACGAAGAAGGUUACUCUCCUUUGCACCUGGCCGUCAUUAGUGGAAACAAAUCUAUAGUGAAAUACCUUCUAACCAGAGGAGCUGACUGCAGAGCCGUCGACAGUGAAAAGCAUUCUUGUGUACAUUGGGCAACAGUAAGCGGAGACUUGGAGUGCUUAGAUUUACUCAUAAACGCCGGAGCCGAUCCUUCAACGCCGGACAUCCACGGAGCUUACCCAGUGCAUUACGCAGCCCAGAUGUGUGGUCCUAACAGUGAGAUGGGGAAUGAUGUGCGCGUGGGGCUGGCAGUCCUCACUAAAUUACUUUCGAGGGGCGUGGACGUAUCAUGCGUGGACCGUGACGGUCGUCCACCCCUGCUCUGGGCUGCAAGCGGAGAGACCAGAGCUAGUAAAACGUACUGUCCUUCAGGGAGCAGCGACGCCAUCUUGGCUCUCGUCAAAUCAGGAGCAGAUGUCAAUGCAGCAGAUCGAGAUGGCUUGACAGCUCUCCACUGUGCAGCCAGCAGAGGUCAUGUAGAUUGUCUUGAGACCUUACUCACUCUAUGUGGAGCCGAAAUUGACAGAGUAGAUGACAAUGGUUGUACAGCCCUGUUUUACGCUGUCACUCUUGGACAUGCCGACUGCACAAACCUUCUCCUGAGUUUUGGGUCCAAUCCAGACAAGCAAGAUCACAAGGGAAGAACACCGGCUCAUUGUGGAGCAUCCAAAGGCCAAUUAGAAACUCUGAAGAUUUUAACUCAUCACAAGGCUAAUUUGUGGCUGAGGAAUUCCAAGGGAGAUAUGCCUUUACAUGAAGCAGUGCAGUCCGGUAGAAAAGAUUUGGUUGAAUGGUUGCUCCAGCAACACAAAGGCUCUGUCAAUGUGUCCAAUGCUAAUGGAAGAACGCCUUUACAUAUAGCAGCCAUCACAAAUAAUGUUGAUAUGUGCAAGGUGCUAAUGGAUUAUGGAGCUUUUAUCAAUCCAAUUAUGAGAAAUUCAAAGGGGCAACAAAUGACACCCCUUGAUGCUGCACUACAUCGAGGCAACAGAGGUUGUGCGAAGUACCUUAAUUUACAUGGAGCUUUGCCUGCUAGCAAGCUGCUGGAGAAAAGAGAAUACAACAGAUUUACAGAAACUCAUCUUUCUGAAACUCUGGAACUUAGCCCAAACACGAGACAAAGGUUGCUACGAGAUACUUCUGCACAAACGGAACCUCAGUUGCGAGACGUAGAUAUUCAGGCUGUAGUAGAGCAAAGAAACGUGGGAGCAGUAGCAGACUUGACUCGUGGCCAGACGCCCAUAAAUUCCAAGUCAUCUUGUGCAUCAACAAGUAUUCGCUGUGCAGGAGAGGAUGGAUCAGGGAAACCUAUCAUUGCCAAAGUUUAUGUUCACACCAAGCGUUCAAAGAUUAGAAGGUUGACUAGAAAACCUACUGCAUACAGGCGAGAUUAUCAAGGAGAGAAGUUGUGCACCCGUCAGCAACAAAGACUAAACUCUAAUGCCCAAAACAUGGAAAAUGGGUCUUCCAAUGAUAAAAAUGAUACAGAAACUCCACGCGAAACAGAUCUUGAAAAAGAUGUUUCGAGUCGUAAAGCCUCUCAACCAACGCUGUACGAAAAGCUUGAGGAAACAGCUAAAGAAGAAGUUCCACAAUUGAGUUCCGAAGAAAAAGAAUUCAGACCAGAAACAUCGGAACAAAAUGGUUACACUAAAAUGCAUCAAUGCAGCUGCUAUUCAAAACAUGAAGUAGGAACAGAGACUUGUGAUUGUGAUUGCCAUGUUGCAGAAGAGAGAUUAAAGCAGCUCUCUGUAGAGCAAAACAGAAGAUCUUUGCGAGCUAAAGACUAUGAUACGGAGAAUCAUUCACCUAUGUCUAGCAUUCGAAGUUUUGAAUCAACAAUCAAAGAUUCUGGUUUCAGUGAUGAUGUGGAUCGUGGACAUCGCGAAGAAAUGUCUUCCUCUGAUGACGAUAGAGGAGGACAUUCGGACUCAGAAACCAGAACUGGGAAAAGAAAAAGACGACAUAUUGCUCGAUAUGUGGUUAGUAGCGGAGCAGCAGAAACGUUUCGUUUGGAAGAUGAAGAAGAUGAAGCCCAUAAAACAAUCAUCAAACCUCGUUCUUCGAGUUUACCUCAUCUUCGUAAGAAAGAUAACAAAUUUGAAACUUGCCCAAGAUUGCUAAACAGGCCUACCAUUACAAAAGAAGUUCAAAAGAGUUUAAAAAAGUAUCAAAUGGAGCGUCGUUUGUUCUACGAGCUGCAAGAACUGAAGAGGAAACAGAUUACGACAACGCCACACGAGGAAAAAGAAAUGGUCACAAAAAUGGUGGAAAGAUUUCGAAAUUAUGUUCUCUCUCCUCCGUUGUCCGAUUAUCAAGGCCCUCUCACGUUCAGGUCCUUCGAAAAAUAUCUUUACGAACAAUUAAGGAAGUUGUCUAUGGGAGGAAAAAUCCCCAAACCAAAGACAAACACCAAAGAUAUUUCAGAAAGAACAUAUGUAGGACCAAUAACAAAAAAUGAUACGAAUGUUAAUCAUGUACUUUGCAUGUGUGAUACGCACAAAUGUCAUCAUACCGCACAACAGCAUUCAGAUCUGAUGUCAGACAGACAAUACUACACUCGUAUCCCAUCAUUGCCUGAAAUUGCCCGUAGGACUGAUGAGAGGAAAGGACCACAAUCAAGAAUACUAGUGAAUCGCUCUAAAAGCUGGGAUAGAUUAGAAGAUGGUUCCACAAAUAAUUCCACAUUUUCUCCAUGCCCCGGUAAACUUGGAAAUAUUCAUACUUCAAACAGUCUACCUGCCUUAUCCAAUCCUUUUCCUAGGAGGGUUCCUGCUGCUCUUCUGGCGGCUAUCAGCGAAAGACUUGGCCCAGAUGUCCAUCCGGAUGAUACCAUUGUAGUAGAGAUGUCAGCAGAUAACGUCACAUCGAAAAUGAGACACGCUUUCACUGUUCAAGAAAUGAAAGAAGUGGUCUCGAGGUAUGAAGAACAGGCUGGACGCAAAGUGAAACCUGUACCUCUAGAAACUGUUCUGGACCCAGAUGACGAUGGCCCAAUUACAUUCGAGAUCAGACAUGGAAAAGAAAGAAAUAUCUUUAGAUUACCUGCUGGCAAGUUAAAGGACAACAAAAAAUGGCAAGUUACAUUUACCAUUGGUAAAUGGCAGAAGGAUACGAGAUCGCUUCAUGCCAAGUAGCUGUAGUUUUUAAGCUUUUUGAAGUUUUUAUUCUGCUCUUUGCGACCGAAGACAAUUUUUUGAGCGUUUUCAGGUUCCUGCAUUACUGCCUGUGGCCAGUUGGACGCUACAUCCUGCCACUGAACCAGAUGGAUCACACACUCGCGGAUGAUAUCCGAUGGGAAGAAAUACGACUGAGUCCUAGAGCUGUGCUCAUGCUGCCACCAAAUU